RNAcentral lists this long non-coding RNA (595 nucleotides) under Setaria italica (foxtail millet). RNAcentral describes it as "long non-coding RNA (SITA_LNC006246)". The record is from RNAcentral. Lineage: Eukaryota; Viridiplantae; Streptophyta; Magnoliopsida; Poales; Poaceae.
CGGCUAAGCCUCUUAGCUGUUGGGCUCAGCAACAGCUAAGAGCAGCUAUAGCCGGCUAUAGCUACAGCUAAGCAACUUAGCGGAUUUGUAAAUAUAGGUUAAAAAAAUCAGAAACGUGACACCAUUACUUCACUAAUUCAUCUCAUCACCAAGUCAUCAGCUCUCGCUUCCCAGUUCUCACAGGAGUAUAGCACAGUAUACAGGACAGUGGACCAUGUUUCAGUCCAGAACACUUGGCACUCACAGUUCAUCACAGCAUGAAAACAGGACAGAGGCAAACCAUAGAGGCAAUGCAUCAUCUACCCAUCAGAACAGUCACCAGGAUACCAGAAUCAGAGGAGGAAAGGGGAACAGAGAACGUGCUGGUUCUUCCUUGCCUCGCAUUGCAGCCUCAAACGAAGCAGCCGCCGGUGGACCAUGGCACCGUCGCAGUCGCCGCCGCCUUGGUGGGUUGUAGCAGCAGCCGUCGCUUAGGGGAGAGAAGUGGGAAAUAGAGAGGGUGCUAGACUGCUAGUCUUCCUCGUCUCCAGGGCCGGGCGCAGCCACCGCCGCCGCCGCCGCCUUUCAGGGGAGUGGAGAGGCUGAGACAGUUGAG